Molecule: transfer RNA, 87 nt
Filed under: Parcubacteria group bacterium CG2_30_45_37
Lineage: Bacteria
Description: tRNA-Ser
Rfam family: tRNA
About the family: Transfer RNA (tRNA) molecules are approximately 80 nucleotides in length. Their secondary structure includes four short double-helical elements and three loops (D, anti-codon, and T loops).
Source: RNAcentral
GGAGAGAUGCCUGAGUGGUUUAAGGGGACGGUCUUGAAAACCGUUGAGCCUUAACGGGUUCCGUGAGUUCGAAUCUCACUCUCUCCG